UCAGAUUUGAAGAUGUAUAUGCAACUUCAUUAAUUGUGGUUUUGAGUUCUGAAGUUCCUUCACCGAGUGCUAUUGUUGGUUAUACCUUAUGGCAUCGCAAGGCUCAGGAUACUGAUUAUCCUACAGAACCAACAUGCACACUGUUUGUGCCCAAUACAAGGUUUGUUGUCACAGGUCUAUCUCCAGCUACACAGUACCAUUUCAAAAUUGUUUCCUUCAAUGACGUAAGAAGAGAAAUGGGCAUGUUUGAAGUUCAGUGCUGUACUCAGGAUGAAGUCCCAAACUGCUUGGUUGUAG
Molecule: unclassified non-coding RNA, 297 nt
Filed under: Hevea brasiliensis (rubber tree)
Lineage: Eukaryota; Viridiplantae; Streptophyta; Magnoliopsida; Malpighiales; Euphorbiaceae
Source: RNAcentral